GGUGGCUCAGUGGUAGAGUGCUUGCCUAGUAUGCAGGAAGUCCUGUGUUCGAUUCCUCAGUACCA
This is a non-coding RNA of Dipodomys ordii (Ord's kangaroo rat), 65 nucleotides long. Lineage: Eukaryota; Metazoa; Chordata; Mammalia; Rodentia; Heteromyidae. The record is from Rfam.